GACGAACGCUGGCGGCGUGCUUAACACAUGCAAGUCGAACGGACAGGCCCUGCUUUUGUGGGGUUCUCGAUUGGCGAACGGGUGAGUAACACGUGAGUAACCUGCCCUUGACUUUGGGAUAUCUUCAGGAAACUGGGGCUAAUACCGGGUAGGAGCUCCUGCUGCAUGGUGGGGGUUGGAAAGUUUCGGCGGUUGGGGAUGGACUCGCGGCUUAUCAGCUUGUUGGUGGGGUAGUGGCUUUCCAAGGCUUUGACGGGUAGCCGGCCUGAGAGGGUGACCGGCCACAUUGGGACUGAGAUACGGCCCAGACGCCUACGGGAGGCAGCAGUGGGGAAUAUUGCACAAUGGGCGGAAGCCUGAUGCAGCAACGCCGCGUGCGGGAUGACGGCCUUCGGGUUGUAAACCGCUUUCGCCUGUGACGAAGCGUGAGUGACGGUAAUGGGUAAAGAAGCACCGGCUAACUACGUG
RNAcentral lists this ribosomal RNA (468 nucleotides) under uncultured bacterium. RNAcentral's name for it is "partial 16S ribosomal RNA". It matches the Rfam family "Bacterial small subunit ribosomal RNA", at positions 28 to 507 of the family's 1533-position model. The record is from RNAcentral.